Molecule: ribosomal RNA, 513 nt
Filed under: uncultured bacterium
Lineage: Bacteria
Description: bacterial SSU rRNA
Rfam family: Bacterial small subunit ribosomal RNA
Source: RNAcentral
AGAGUUUGAUCAUGGCUCAGGAUGAACGCUGGCGGCGUGCCUAACGCAUGCAAGUCGAGCGAGGACCGCCCGGUGGCAACACCGGGUUGGUGCCUAGCGGCGAACGGGUGAGUAACACGUGGGUAACCUGCCCCCGACACCGGGAUAAGCCUGGGAAACUGGGUCUAAUACCGGAUAUGAGCCUCCUCCGCAUGGUGGAGGCUGGAAAGGGUCCCCGGUCGGGGAUGGGCCCGCGUCCUAUCAGCUUGUUGGUGGGGUAACGGCCUACCAAGGCGACGACGGGUAGCCGGCCUGAGAGGGUGUACGGCCACACUGGGACUGAGACACGGCCCAGACUCCUACGGGAGGCAGCAGCGGGGAAUAUUGCGCAAUGGGCGAAAGCCUGACGCAGCGACGCCGCGUGCGGGAUGAAGGCCUUCGGGUUGUAAACCGCUUUCAGCAGGGACGAAGCGCAAGUGACGGUACCUGCAGAAGAAGGUCCGGCCGACUACGUGCCAGCAGCGGCGGUAAUAC